RNAcentral lists this ribosomal RNA (253 nucleotides) under uncultured bacterium. RNAcentral describes it as "partial 16S ribosomal RNA". It matches the Rfam family "Bacterial small subunit ribosomal RNA", at positions 524 to 776 of the family's 1533-position model. The record is from RNAcentral. RNAcentral also lists the same sequence under 1 other name.
UACGUAGGUGGCAAGCGUUGUCCGGAUUUAUUGGGUUUAAAGGGUGCGUAGGCGGUCUAUUAAGUCAGUGGUGAAAUACUCCAGCUUAACUGGAGGGGUGCCAUUGAUACUGAUGGACUUGAGUCAAGUCGAGGUAGGCGGAAUUGACGGUGUAGCGGUGAAAUGCUUAGAUAUCGUCAAGAACACCAAUAGUGAAGACAGCUUACUGGGCUUAAACUGACGCUGAGGCACGAAAGUGUGGGGAUCAAACAGG